Gasterosteus aculeatus aculeatus (three-spined stickleback) is the source of this 4194-nucleotide long non-coding RNA. NCBI's taxonomy places the organism in Eukaryota, Metazoa, Chordata, Actinopteri, Perciformes, Gasterosteidae. The record is from Ensembl.
CUAAAUCAUCAUUAUGGUUGAUAUUGAAAUUUCAAUGCAAAAUAAACGUUGAAUCACCAUUACCAUAUCGAUGAAAACCUGAUGUUUUCAUGAUAAUAUUGGAACAACAUUGAUCUAGUUAUCUUUACGAUUGGAAGUGCAAUCCCCGAAUGUGUUGAAACAUAGUUGAUAAUGCAUCGAUAUAUAGUUGACCGGGAAAUAUGAUUGAAAUCCAUUGAAUUUUGGUUGACCGGGAGAUCAACGGGUGGUAAACCAACGUACUGCACGAGACAAGCUCAUUUCUGGACCCUUGGCACGAGCGUAGCUACAGGUAAGCUUGCUUAAUGUUCGAUAUGAAUGAAUCAAAUACCGUUAGGCUGAUCGUUGUAGUAUAAUGAUUAGUGUAGUAACCAACGCAGUGCUGCAGCUAACGUUAGUCAUGAAAUAGAUUUUUGUUUUACUAAUGUGUUCAAAUCUUCCAAAAGCAGGCUAGCCUACUUUGUGGUUCUCUUUACAGUUAGCAAAACCUCAGAGUCCAGCCUAUUUUUAUAGCUGGCUCAAAAUACACGUCACUCGGUACCCAUUGCUAAUAGUGUCGUGAAAUCUAUUUUACAGUCACCGCUAUUUCUUCUGCCCGCCGGAAAACACCAUAAUAACAGUGUGCUCCAUCUAGCGCUAACGGUAACGUCCAUCAAGCUAGCCUGUUGGCGGCGCCGUGCGCUCAAACCUUUGAGAGAUCACGGCUGAUUAGCACUACGUAGCCACCACCAAGGGCACGGAAGUCAUGUCGUGCAUGUUUGAGCGCUAACGUUAACGUUACCCCACAGAAGUGACCGCAGCGGGCCAGAAUUACACAAAAUACAUGACGUACCUCAUUAUUCAAUGCAGAACUGUCUCGAGUUGUAACUGGAAAAGCUAACCAUCUCGUUGUAAUACAAAUCCAAAAUAAUAAAAAUCCUCGAGCAGGGCUGCAUAUGCGUGGGAUACAGUUUUGUAACUCCUGUUUGUUUUCAGAAAUUAUAACAGUCGUUUUAUAGACAAGUUUACGAGCCGUUUCGUGGGCGCCAUUCCUCUACAGAAAUGCAUUUCACUUCUGCCGGUGUUGUUCCCAGCGUCUGCCGGUGUAAACAGUGAUGUCGAUGCUAGUUUGGGAACACGGAUCUACGUAUUUGACUGAGAUGGCGUUACUAUCCCGCACCCCAAUCCAGUGCAGAACUGGGAGGAUAACAUGACAUCGUGGCCCAGCAUUACGUACAGCGAGAUUUGCUCAUACUUCGUGCAAUUGAGCAAUGGACAGUCUGAAAGCCUCCGAGGCAGAUCAGUAUCUGACAGCAACAAAGCCGGUUGUGUCAUGUCAUACAAACAUGACCGUUUUGUUUAUCUAAAAGCAAAAGUACAUGUUUGAUCAGUGUAUGUGUUAAUAUAUUGGGCUAAUUUUGUUAUAAUUGCUCAAGAUAAUUGUUUAUAAAUACAUUUUAUAAUCUAAUAAUGUCACAGGUAAUAACCAAGUUAAUGUUGAAAGAACUUUCAGGAUAUUUUUAAUAAUUGUUUAAUGGCAUCUUCUUGGUACAUGAAGGCCAGUAUCACUAAUACCAAUACUGGUAUAUUGGAUUUUCCAAUUUAACUAAUUAAUUAUGAAAUGUAUUAGGCUCCAAAAAUAACCUUUUUAAUGUUAAUCUUAAUACAAUCUUCACACAAGCCCAAGUCAGAUUGAUGUGCCUCUGUGUCUACAGGAAAUACACAGAAAUUAAAUAUCAAGUCAAUUUUAUUUUAGAGAUACUGCUAAAUAGCACAAACCGCCAGGCAAUGGUAGUGGUUUAAUAGUUACAAUAUUCUUCUUUCAGAAAUGUAUCAUUUCGAUGAGGAGCCCCAGAAUGAGCGAGGAUUUUUACUUCCAGCAGCAAUCCAACUAGCCAGUCAGGACAGCCAAUCACCACCACCUCCACGAAUCUAUCAAACCCGUUCUCCCCAAUGAAUUUACUCCAGAGGCCAUCUCCUGAAGGUUGUUACAGAUUCUUCAGAAACUGCCAGGUUGGCAUUAAAAGGCAAGUACAGUCAAAUCCUAGGGGCCCAGCCUUAUCUUUCCUCACUUAUUUAAAUUAUUGAUGGAUUUACCACUUAUAAAUGUUAGCUUAAAGUUCCAUCCAUCCAUUGUCAAACCGCUUAUCCUGCACACAGGGGUCGCGGGGGGGCUGGAGUCCAUCCAGCCCCCCCGCGACCAAACUUUGGGGGAUAGACAGGGUACAUCCUGGAUUGGUCGCCAGCCAAUCGCAGUAGCUUAAAGUUUAAUGGACAAAUUUAUGGUGGUAAACUUUUUAACAGUUGUUUAUUUUAGCAAUAUCUUUUUCCAUUGGUUAAAGCCUUAAAAAUCCAAACCUUUGAAUAUUAGUGUCACGGUGUGGUUCACUUUAUGUUAUAUUUUGUAGUUUUCUGCCACUCGUGUCCCCGGGUAACUUCACUUUCUGCCUUGUCCCGUCAUCCCCUGUGAUCGUCUUCCAAUCACCUGCACCUCCCCUAGUGUAUUUAAACCAUGUGUGUCUGUUGUCACUUGUUGCGUCAUUGUCUUUCGCCACGCUUGUUCUUGCCUUUUGUCUUGGAUGUCCGUAGUUUCUUGCCUGUUUGCUUUUGCCCCCGGUUCCUGUGACUAUUUUUGACUAUUAAAGUCUUUUGUUUUCGGCGAAGUCUGCAUUUGAGUCCUGCCUCCCACCCACACCCCUGACAAUUAGUGUAUGACAAUGAAAAAACAAAUAGCGUGUACACUGACUGCUCUAAGCCAUUUUUUAUGAUACAUUUCUUUGUUCAACAUCGUAAAUUUGUUUGUACAAUUUUAUUUGUCAAUCGAUGUGGCCAUGCAAAAACUUCUUACUGCAGUGACAGAGUUGUCCAAGGAGGUGAAGGACCUGCGAGAGGAGUUCAGGCAAUUCCGCCAGUCCUGCAGGUGUGGACAGUCGGAGUCUGUGGGACGGCCACUGGCGGAGCCCUUGGAGCUGCCCCUCCACACUAUGGAGGCCCUGGACCGUGCGGAAGAGAUACUGCUAAACGGCACAAACCACUAGGCAAUGGUAGUGGUUUAAUAGUUAGAUUAUUCUUCUUUCAGAAAACUUCACUGAUAUGCACAACUUCCUUAAACUGCCUGCCAGUCAUGACAGUAGACUAAUAGGUUCAUUUUUAUUGAACCUUAAUCUCAGUAAUUCCACGUUUCACAUUUCAAUAUCUCCUAAAAACUGCUGUUGUUUCAGUACACCUUUAUCAAUCCAAGUUACAUUCAGACUGAAAACAAAAAAUUAUGCACAGACCAAAUUGGCUGAAAAUUAUGUUCGAUCAUUGAAACACUGGGUAUUUGACAAAAGCAGAAUGAAGAAAUCCAAGACCCUGAGUGGUUUUUACUCUGGAGUUACAUAUACUACAUGCGUUGAUGCGUUGCAGCUGCACCCAAACGAAGGAGCUGGAAAAGAUUGGUGCAACAUCCAUUAUUUGUACUUAGUUCAGAUUUAAGCCGUCCGACGAGCAGCAGCAAACUAUAGACAGUGUGUGGAGCAACAGUUCGGUAACACGACUAAUCUAUUCUACCACCUCAUUCAAAACAAAACCUAUUACUGAAUACCAGCGCGCACGUAUUAUUCACAAUCUAACUUAGUUGUUUAACUGUUAGCAUAUCUCUGUCUGCACCUGAUUUUAAGAAUUGUUGUGUUGCUUUUUAAAUGAAAAGACAUCGUUUUUUCUGCUCUUUGCAUCUUUUGUGUACUUUAAGAAAACAGGCUAACUAAAACUACAUUUGGUUGAACUAUUUUGCACUUUUUACUGUCUAUGGCAUGGCGCUAAGUGAUAUAUUUUGAGCCUUUUAUUUGUUAUCAUUUUGAUGAUUAUGGCUUACAGCUUUAUGAAAACCUUUUCACAAUAUUCUCAUUUUAAAUUUGGGGUUUCAUAUGCUCCAAGCCGUAAUAGCAACAUUAGGCCUACUUAAGUCUCUGCAGCUAGUGUACUUACAUUUUAUUUAACUGUCAAAUUAUGUUUUGCACAAUAUUUGUUUUCAAAACUACAUACACCCUUUCUUUUUUUACAUACAUUUAGCAGUUGUUUAGCAGGGUCUGUGUAACCUGUUCUGAAAUGGUUUUAUUAUAAUUUAUAUUGCGAUAUAUAUAGUUAUUGCAAGAGGCUGCAAUGUAUAUCGCAAUAUGGAUUGUAGGCCAUAUCGCCCAUCUCUAAUUGAUAGCC